GUGAAUCAUCAAAUCUUUGAACGCAUAUUGCACUAUCUGGUAUUCCGGAGAGUAUGCCUAUUGGAGGGUCAUUUGAAAUAAUAUAAAGUUCGAGAUUUUCUUGAAAUCAAAAAUGGGUCGGUUCAGCUUUCGUGUGGUUGUCGCCUAAAAUGCAAAACAAGCUCAUUGCUUGGGUUGCGUUAUGCUUUCAGUUACCUCGGGACUUCACAAGAAAUCUUCGAGCGUGUUAAGUAUUGUGCAAGAAAUAAACUUCAUCUAUCUCAGGCUCAAGAGUAAAU
RNAcentral lists this unclassified non-coding RNA (278 nucleotides) under Ambisporaceae sp. Its description in RNAcentral is "partial contains 5.8S ribosomal RNA and internal transcribed spacer 2". The stretch from base 1 to 71 matches the Rfam family "5.8S ribosomal RNA", at positions 84 to 154 of the family's 154-position model. The record is from RNAcentral. Lineage: Eukaryota; Fungi; Glomeromycota; Glomeromycetes; Archaeosporales; Ambisporaceae.